RNAcentral lists this long non-coding RNA (228 nucleotides) under Elaeis guineensis (African oil palm). Its description in RNAcentral is "long non-coding RNA (EGUI_LNC015885)". Lineage: Eukaryota; Viridiplantae; Streptophyta; Magnoliopsida; Arecales; Arecaceae. The record is from RNAcentral.
GGGGGCAAAGAUCAUAAUAGUCGAGCAAAUUUUGGAUGAACUCUGGAAUCAAAAAUCGAAGAUCCGUCCGAAGGUCUUCGACAUAAAAGGUCACCUGGCCUAGAGGAAGAGAGUUUACCCGAUCAUCGACGUCAGGUGCAAAGAGUUGAUACUGCUCUGGGAUAUGAUACUGCUCCCGGAGCCAUCAACAUUGGGUUCAGAUAGUGAAAAAAUCUUCACUUUCGAACC